AAGACUCAAGUAUGUAACAAAACCAGCAUCUCAGUGUGUCUUAUUUCACUGCGGACGUCUGUGAGCAACUUCUAUCAAACAGUUCUGUUUCGUAGAAAUCCUGCUGCUAUACUUUUACUCAUUUAAAUAUAUGAGAUUUACAGGGUUGCAGACUACAGAGGACACGAUGGGCUGUGGUAAGAUGAAAUAACAAACUUGAGUGAUGUUUAAUUUGAUGUGAAAAUGUGAAUGUUAUUUCCUAGUACUAUUUGCAUGGCAAACAAAUAGCUAUAAACAAAGCGACAACGGAUUUUUAUUAUGAGCCUUACACUGACAAUAUUUGUUAAUGAAUUUUACGCUUUUGUCUUUUACUACCUGUCAUCUCUUGUGUCAUCUCUUGCUGCAACAGUAACUACAAACAGAUCAGUCAUGCAUGUUUUACCCCCUGAAAACUGUGACAUUGACAUUGUAGACACUGGAGGAACGAUCAGUGAUUUCAUAGACGAUAAAAUAAAAGAGCGUAGUUCAGUGGACAACGACGAGCCGUUCUGUGUGGCAAACCUGGACAGUAUCCUCAUGAGGCACCUCAGGUGGCUCGCUAACCUGCCUCAGGUCAAACCUUCUACACAGUGAAGUGCAACAACACAGCAGCAGUUUUAAAGAUGAUGACUGUUUUGGACACUGGUUUCAACUGUGCUAGCAAGAAUCUGUUGAAGAAGAAGAAGUUGAGAAGGAAGACCAGGCUGGCCAAACUCCACUACAAAAACAAAGUGGAGGAAAAAUUCACCACUGGCAAUGCAAGGGAGGCAUGGCAGGGACUCAAUACCAUGAUGGGCAGAGCCCAGAAUCCGGCCCCGAUCCAAUGCUCUGACCCCGCCACCUUUGCAAAGCAGCUGAACAUUUAC
Molecule: long non-coding RNA, 884 nt
Organism: Epinephelus fuscoguttatus (brown-marbled grouper)
Lineage: Eukaryota; Metazoa; Chordata; Actinopteri; Perciformes; Serranidae
Exons: 3
Source: RefSeq, a predicted model, not a curated record